RNAcentral lists this ribosomal RNA (543 nucleotides) under uncultured beta proteobacterium. RNAcentral's name for it is "bacterial SSU rRNA". It matches the Rfam family "Bacterial small subunit ribosomal RNA", at positions 900 to 1447 of the family's 1533-position model. Lineage: Bacteria; Pseudomonadati; Pseudomonadota; Betaproteobacteria. The record is from RNAcentral.
CUCAAAGGAAUUGACGGGGACCCGCACAAGCGGUGGAUGAUGUGGUUUAAUUCGAUGCAACGCGAAAAACCUUACCUACCCUUGACAUGCCUGGAAUCCUGCAGAGAUGUGGGAGUGCUCGAAAGAGAACCAGGACACAGGUGCUGCAUGGCCGUCGUCAGCUCGUGUCGUGAGAUGUUGGGUUAAGUCCCGCAACGAGCGCAACCCUUGUCAUUAGUUGCUACGAAAGGGCACUCUAAUGAGACUGCCGGUGACAAACCGGAGGAAGGUGGGGAUGACGUCAGGUCCUCAUGGCCCUUAUGGGUAGGGCUACACACGUCAUACAAUGGCCGGUACAGAGGGUUGCCAACCCGCGAGGGGGAGCCAAUCCCAGAAAACCGGUCGUAGUCCGGAUUGCAGUCUGCAACUCGACUGCAUGAAGUCGGAAUCGCUAGUAAUCGCGGAUCAGCUUGCCGCGGUGAAUACGUUCCCGGGUCUUGUACACACCGCCCGUCACACCAUGGGAGCGGGUUCUGCCAGAAGUAGUUAGCCUAACCGCAAGGA